Molecule: long non-coding RNA, 465 nt
Organism: Astatotilapia calliptera (eastern happy)
Lineage: Eukaryota; Metazoa; Chordata; Actinopteri; Cichliformes; Cichlidae
Source: Ensembl
UGGAAUCAUUUUAAGUUUUACAAUGCCGGUGAUUUACGACUCUUUCGCGACAGUCAACUGUGGCGUAAACUCUGGCGGGUCUCAGAGCUAGCUUAUGUGAGCCAGCAGUGACAUCUAUACAUGCAGUAGCCUUAAAAUACUGAUUAUUUAUUCUCCUGCUAGAAGAGGAGGCGAGAGCAGAGAACGAGAGUGCAGCAGUUUGGUGAAAGGAACAGGUGAAGAAGAGGUGAGCAUCCAAGAGACGAGCAAGAGGACGGUUUCAAAGCAGACAUUAUGGCACAAUAAAAGCUGUAAGAGCAGAGAUUCAUUCAUAUCUUUACUAUUUUUCUUUAGCUUCUACUCCCGCUGCUUACAAUAAAUCCGAGAUAAAGAACAAACAAGAGCAACUCACAUGGCAUUGAUUGUUUAGUUCAGUGUCACUCUGUGAUUGUUUGACAUUUCAUAUAAAUGUGACUCUAAAAUAUA